RNAcentral lists this long non-coding RNA (2994 nucleotides) under Homo sapiens (human). Its description in RNAcentral is "HSALNT0299267". Lineage: Eukaryota; Metazoa; Chordata; Mammalia; Primates; Hominidae. The record is from RNAcentral.
AUCACUGUAAUUAAAAACAAAAACUCCUGGAUACCUAAGGUUGGCAAAAUGCUGAUCGUUGUUGUGGCUGGCCGAAUUCUAAAGAUUUCAAGAUUCUAAUUUUGUACUGCUCUGAAGGGACUUUGCAGAUGGAAUUUAGAUGACUAAGUAGCUGACGUUAAAACAGGCAAAUUAUCCUGGGUUAUCCAGGCAGGCCCUUAAAAACAGAGGAGGGAGGCAGAAGAGUCAGAGAGAUAAGGCAGAAACAGAAAGCGGGAGAGGAGAGGGUGAAGGGGGAGAGGGACUAUUUACACUUCCCUUUAGGUUACAGGCACAGAGAAACCUUUAGGCUGAACUUAAAAUAUGUGAGUAGCUUUAAGCUAAACUUGAUUUAACAGGGAAAAACAGGACUUUGCAAAAAUUCUUUUAGGGAGUGUACUAUCGAGCACAUUUGAAGACCACAGGUCUCGAAAGCGGGGAAGACGGGACCCAGAGUCCCCCGCAGCAGCGUCACGGCCCAGCUCUGGUUCUCAAGUUGGGCUGCUGUUUUUCCCCUUUUUCUCAUCCGCCAGGAUGCCAGGCGCUGCUGAAAGCUGCAGCCGAAAGGAUUUAGAAUUCCUUACAACGGAGAAAGGGUCUUUGCUCAGACAACAUGGACUUAAGAGACGGAAGGGCCAAAAAGGCUUGAAAACAGGCUCGAAGAGCGGCUUCCUGGUAGCUAGAAGCUUAAGUGGGGACAGAUGAGCUUAACUGGCAAGCCUGCGUGUGUGCUCUCCAGCCCCCGUGAUUCAGUUUAAAUCUGGGCGGGUCUCCUCAAAGACAGUUCCAGAAGGGGCCACGUGAGGGCAGUAAGAGCCUCUCAAUGCCUGUUUUUGGGGGAAGAGAGAAGUGAGGGCGGAGCGCGGGGAGCGUCCCAGGCCUGGCUACCCGGAUAACUUCCCCAAAAGAAGCUAUGCUCGGGCCUUCCCAUCGUCCCACUCAAGAGCUUUCUUCAUAUUGGUCCCUUGGUUGAAUUCUGUGUUCUGAAGAGGCAAGAAUUGAGGUUGCUGCAGACCUGUAUGGAUUCGCCACCAGUAACAAGAUCUCAGAACACUGGAAAAAUCGAUGCACAAAAAAAAAAGGUUUCUGUUGCUCUAUUAGGAUGAUGUCUGAAUUUGAACCCACCACACGAGGGAAAAGAAGUCGACAGAGACUUGAGCUGUGCCGAAACAACUGUGUCCUGAUUUCCCCAGGCCCUACACAGCUCAUGGUAUACGGAAUGCAAGGGAAGAACUGCUUGCAGGCCACAGGGUGGACAAGGCCCUGGAGCUCUGCGAAACCAGGAAGGCACCAUGGAUGGCUCUGGCUUCCAGAAGUUUAAUAGGAAAAAAAAGGCAAACAAACAUUAAGACAGAAAAUGCAUGCAGCAUAUAGCGCCCACAGCUCCUUUUUCUUGGCGUGCCCCUGGUCCCUGCAGCCACUUGGCCAAGUGCAGUGUCUGUCUUCCUUCAGGUCCUCUAUUGGUGUGCACUUCUCGAGCCUAGGGCCACGUCUUUCCAUCUUUGGACAAAUGCCAGUGCCUUUUCUGACACAUUGGCAUCUACAGUGCAGAAAGCAGAGAAAUGUCAAGGAACCAAUCUGGGUAACAUCAGCAGCACCGGUAGAAUUAUACCUAGAACGAGCACAGAAAGAUAGAGGGAAAUUUGUGCUGCGGUUUCCAUGCUUCAAAUAUGCCAAGCUGUGAUGUGGCAAAUAUAAUCAUUAACGCUGCUUGAAACCCACAGGGAUCACUCCCGCAUAGCUAAAGCCUCAGUAUUGCUUUCGGCUUGAACUCACAACCUGAAACAGCCUUGAAUCUAGUAUACUGUGGCCCCUAAGAUCAUUUGCCAAUGGUCCAGAUCUUAUUUCAAGCUCCUCUUUCAAGCACCAGACGACCUGGAGUAUGGCCAUUUCCAGAACUAGCUGGAACUAUUUUUCAUCUAGGACCAUUCAAAUAAGUCUUUAAUGCAAUUAUCAGAAUUUACAAACUCGGAUCAUUCUCUUCUACUUUGCCAAUUGCUAAGUAAUCUUUUGAGGUUCUAAAACUCAGGGACUUUAAGAUGAUCUCUGCUGACACUGGAAAAGGAGAGGUCUCUUUCCUCGUCCUUGGCUAAAUAAUAGAUGAACUGGCAUCUAAGUUGCUAAAACUGAACUCCCAUUAGAGACUUAAAUGGCCUCAAAGUGUGUGUCCUGGAGAGAAGAGGCAGGACAUACUGGGAGUCUUGAGGAAUUAUAGAAAGUUGAAACUAAAGAAUAUCAAAAACUGUCUAGCUUAAGCCCUCAUUUCACAGAUGAGCAAAAAAGAGGCUUAGAAAUAUUAAGGGCUUUGCUCUAGUCUCAGAGCUGGUUAAUACCAGUACUAGGACUAGAACUAAGUCUCUUAAACAUUUAAUCCGGUUCCUUUUCCACAAUACUAUUCAGAAAACAAACAUUCAUUGAUCUGCAGAUGUUCGUCCUCUUGCGUUCCAGCAUUGUUGCAGCUAAUGCCACUUACCGUCUCCGUGAGCAUAUAUUUGUGCCUCAGGCAAGAGAGAAGGGAGGCUGACAGACAAGUUCUUCAAAUUAUAUUGAAUGAAGACCUAAAGAGUUUCCUAAGAGGUAAUAUGAGCUCUGAGGAAAGACCACUUGGGCUUUGGAAUUAUUCACUCUUGGUUUUAAUCCUGGCUUCAUCAUUGUCUAAUUUGUGACACUGAGCAAGUUAUAUCUUAAACUCUGUAUUAGUUUUCUAUUGCUGUUGUAUGAAAUUACCGCAAACCUAGUGGCUUAAAACAUCACAGAUUUAUUCUCUUACAGUUGUGGAAAAGGCCCGAAAUGUGUCUUGCAGGCUACAGCAAGGUGUCAGCAGGGCAGGCUCCUUCAGGUGUCUCUAAGGAUGAAUUGUUUUCCUGCCUUUUCCAGCUUCUGAAGGUCACCUGCAUUCCUGGGCUCAUGGCCCCUUCCUCGCAUCACUCUAACCUCUUGCUUCUGUUGUCACAUCUCCCACUACUGACUUUGACC